CAAAAACAUCGCCUCUUGCAACAACAGUAUAAGAGGUCCUGCCUGCCCAGUGACCAUGUGUUCAACGGCCACGGUAUUUUAACCGAGCGAAGGUAGCGUAAUCAUUUGUCUUUUAAAUGUAGACCUGUAUGAAUGGCGUGACGAGGGCUUAACUGUCUCCUUUUUCCAGUCAAUGAAAUUGAUCUCCCCGUGCAGAAGCGGAGAUAACCCCAUAAGACGAGAAGACCCUGUGGAGCUUUAGACAUUAAGACAGACAAUAGUAUAUCCUUAUAAAGAACCAAACCUAAUGAUUCCUGCCGUUAUGUCUUUGGUUGGGGCGACCUCGGAGAACCACAAAACCCCCGCGUGGAAUGGGAGCUAUUUACCCCUUGCCAACCGAAACCAAGAGUUACCACUCUAAUUAACAGUACUUCUGACCAAUGAGGAUCCGGCUCACGCCGAUCAACGGACCAAGUUACCCCAGGGAUAACAGCGCAAUCCUCUUCUAGAGUCCCUAUCGACAAGAGGGUUUACGACCUCGAUGUUGGAUCAGGGCAUCCUAAUGGCGCAGCCGCUAUUAAGGGUUCGUUUGUUCAACGAUUAAAGCCCUACGUGAUCUGA
RNAcentral lists this ribosomal RNA (600 nucleotides) under Stegastes adustus (dusky damselfish). Its description in RNAcentral is "partial 16S ribosomal RNA". It matches the Rfam family "Bacterial large subunit ribosomal RNA", at positions 1808 to 2608 of the family's 2925-position model. Lineage: Eukaryota; Metazoa; Chordata; Actinopteri; Pomacentridae. The record is from RNAcentral.